Molecule: long non-coding RNA, 487 nt
Filed under: Homo sapiens (human)
Lineage: Eukaryota; Metazoa; Chordata; Mammalia; Primates; Hominidae
Description: non-protein coding lnc-VWA8-7:1
Source: RNAcentral
CAGCUCCGUGAACUUGGAAGACACUUGACUUUCUGAGCCUGGGUCUUCUUGUCCAUAAAAGUAAGAAUAUGUUUUGCCCCAUAACGAUCCUCCAGGUUAGGUCUUAUUAUCAACAUCCCCACUUUACAGAUUAGGAAGCCAAAGUAAAGAGUGAUGAAGUACUUCGCCCAAAGCCAUGCUGCUGACAAGUGGCAAAGUUGGUAUCAAAGCAGAAGACACCUGGCUCCAGGUGCUAUGCUCUCAGUCAGACACUGUUCUGCCUCUCCUCCCAGAAAGGAACGCUCUACUGAGAAAGGCAGGAGAAAAGCUUUCCAGGCAAAGCACUUUAUGUUAAUUCUUAUUCACAUCAGAUAACAACUGAUGUCCCACUUAUAUAAGUUACUCUGUAAACUAGCAAGUUUACUCAAAUUAAUUUUUGAAUCAAGCGUUUCUUCCCCAAGAUUAAUCAUUUAUAGGAAUCAAGCCAUGACUCCACCUGGGAGAUGGC